Long non-coding RNA from Pan troglodytes (chimpanzee), 2439 nucleotides. RefSeq lists it as uncharacterized. The transcript is spliced from 5 exons. Lineage: Eukaryota; Metazoa; Chordata; Mammalia; Primates; Hominidae. The record is from RefSeq and is a predicted model, not a curated record.
GCGCCCCCUGGUCGCGUGGAGGGCGAUGAGCGAACGACCCGGGACUUUUCUGAAUGGGACACCAGCAAGGCACACGUGGUCUUCAAUGCGAUGGGCGCUUCCAGGGGACCCGGCGUCCCUUGGGUCCAGGAAGUCUUAUACUGUCUCCUCUCACGGCCCCGACAGAAACGGUUUCUGAGGAGUAGAAGUGUCCUAAGUGGAUUGGAAAUUACAAAUGCCGGAAAGAACCUAGGGAUGGAAAGCAGCCCUCAACUCAGCCCACCAGCACCCAGUUGAAAUAAACAGCCAUGUUGCUCACAGAAAGCCUGUUUGGUGAUCUCUUCACACGGACACAUGAAACAUUUGGUGCCGAAGACCCGGGUCAGUGGGACUCCUUUUGGAGACCAGUCCCCUGUCCUCACCCUCACUCCGUGAAGAGAUCCACCUACGACCUCAGGUCCUCAGACCAACCAGCCCAAGGAACAUCUCACCGAUUUUAAAUCGGGACCCCACUGGAAAUUGGACUGUCCAACUGGCCCAAGGCUCUGAUGGACUCCUUCCCAGAUCUUCUCAGCUUAGCAGCUGAAGACUGACACUGCCUGAUCACCUCGGAAGCCCCUUGGACCAUCACGGACGCCGAGCUUCGGGUAACUCUUACAGUGGAGGAUGAAAGUGAUGCUCACAUUGCCUCAUGAUCUUCUUGGAAGACAUCCAGCUCUCCCCAUGCUGUUCAGUUGGUGCUGCACAUUGUCCUCCCCUUACAUCUGUGCCCUUGGCCAUCAGGACUUCUCUCACUUUUAAGAGACUGCAGGUGCAAUUCCAGGGAUUUCCAUCCAGGUACAGGUGCCUGAGGGUCUGUCUCUGUGGCCCAGGCUGGAGUGCAGUGGUGAGAUCUCGGCUGACUGCAACCUCUGGCUCACCAGCUCAAGUGAUCCUCCCACCUCAGCCUCCUGAGUAGCUGGGACCACAGGCACACACCACCACACCCGGCUAAUUUUUUCUAUUUUUGGUAGAGACAGGGUUUCAUCAUGUAGCCCAGGCUAGUCUGGAACUCCUGGACUCAAACAAUCCACCAACCUCGGCCUCCCAAAGUGCUGGGAUUACAGGUGUGAGUCACCGCACCUGGCCUGAUGUUUUAAAAUAAUUUUUUAAAUAACAGUUAUAUGAAAAAGCUUUUGUAACUAUGACUAAAAAAAUCUAGAAGCUAUAAAAAAUUGUUAAAGCAUCAACAUUAAAAAGAAUUUUAAAAGAAAUUGUGUAUAGCAAAAGACAGGCAAAGUCAAAAGACAAAUGAUAAACGGGAUAAGCAUGAUGUCUGCAGUUUAUAUCAAACAAAGAAUUAAUCUCCUUAAUAUACAAAAAGCACUUAAAAUUGAGAAGAAAAGGUUAUAAAAUAAAACAGAAAAAUGGGCAAAAAAACAAAUGGAAGUUCACAUAUAAAGCAAAGCAAAGGGCCCCCAAGUCUUCAACUUUAUGCAGAACAGAGAAAUUAAAGCUACACAGAGAUGCCACUUAACACUUAACAGAUUGGUAAAAAUUCUAAGCCUUAGCAAUCUGGUCUGCGAACAAAGCUGUGAAGAAACAGAUAUUCUCAUAUAUUGCUCAUGGGAGUCUAAAAUGGCACAGCCUGUAUGGAGAAAAAUUUAGCAAAACCUAACAAAAAAAAAUACAUAUUUAUCCUUUAGACCAGCAAUCUCACUUCUAGGAAUACACCCUGAAGAUAUGACUUUACAAAUAUAAACAGUAUGUGUGGCAUUUAUUAUGAUAUUAUUUAUAACAGCAAAAGAUUGGAAGCAACCCAGUACAUAUGCAGCCUUAAAAAAAUAAAAUAAUAAAAAAAAGAGGCUGGUCUCUAUGAAUUACCAUGAAGUGAUUUCCAGAAAGUAUUGUUAAAGAGAAAAAAAGCAAGAAACAGAGCAGUAUAUAUAGUACACUAGUUUUUGUGUAAGAAAAGGGGAAAUAAGAAUUACAUAUACACGUUUACUUAUUUGGGGCAACUGAAGGAGAAUGAUAAACCAGAAAUCAAUAAAAAUGGUUACAUAUAGGGAGUGGUUGGUUCCAUGUGAUUUUAACUUUUCAACCAUGUUAAUGUUUUACAUGUUCACAAAAACAAAAUCAAGUCCUAAAACUGAAAACAAACAGGAACAAGCAUAUCUAAUUAAUUAAUCCAAUGUUUAUAUUUGUAACAUAGUCAUACAGAGAAAAGAAAAAGUACUCUGACUGAACAACCUUAGUGGAUAUAUUUAAGCCUUAGAUUCUAAGGACAAAAAGAUCUCGAAAUUUCUCUUAGUAUGUUUAUUGUUAAUACUAAUGUUAAUAAUGAAAUUUUGAAAUUUUUUAUGAAUAUUAUCUGGCAAAACAAAUAAGUAAAUAUAUUCAUGUCAUUAGGAAAUUAUACUUUCAUUGUAAGAGAAAAAGAUAAAAAUAUAAAAUAAAAUAAAGAAAACCCUCUCUGAUGUU